This 253-nucleotide ribosomal RNA is filed under the name uncultured bacterium. Its description in RNAcentral is "partial 16S ribosomal RNA". It matches the Rfam family "Bacterial small subunit ribosomal RNA", at positions 524 to 776 of the family's 1533-position model. The record is from RNAcentral.
GACAGAGGGUGCAAACGUUGUUCGGAAUUACUGGGCGUAAAGGGCGCGUAGGCGGCGGUGUUAGUCAGGCGUGAAAGCCCUGGGCUCAACCUGGGGACUGCGCUUGAUACGGCAUUGCUAGAGGAUGGAAGAGGGUCGCGGAAUUCCCAGUGUAGAGGUGAAAUGCGUAGAUAUCAGGAGGAACACCGGUGGUGUAGACGGCUUUCUGGACCGUAACUGACGCUGAGACACGAAAGCGUGGGUAGCAAACAGG